ACGAACGCUGGCGGCAUGCCUAAUACAUGCAAGUCGAACGAACACUUCGGUGUUAGUGGCGCACGGGUGCGUAACGCGUGGGAAUCUACCCUUGGGUUCGGAAUAACAGUGGGAAACUACUGCUAAUACCGGAUGAUGACGUAAGUCCAAAGAUUUAUCGCCCAGGGAUGAGCCCGCGUAGGAUUAGCUAGUUGGUAAGGUAAAAGCUUACCAAGGCUACGAUCCUUAGCUGGUCUGAGAGGAUGAUCAGCCACACUGGGACUGAGACACGGCCCAGACUCCUACGGGAGGCAGCAGUAGGGAAUAUUGGACAAUGGGCGAAAGCCUGAUCCAGCAAUGCCGCGUGAGUGAUGAAGGCCUUAGGGUUGUAAAGCUCUUUUACCCGGGAUGAUAAUGACAGUACCGGGAGAAUAAGCCCCGGCUAACUCCGU
Molecule: ribosomal RNA, 431 nt
Filed under: uncultured bacterium
Lineage: Bacteria
Description: bacterial SSU rRNA
Rfam family: Bacterial small subunit ribosomal RNA
Source: RNAcentral